Pelodiscus sinensis (Chinese soft-shelled turtle) is the source of this 115-nucleotide small nuclear RNA. Its record names the gene U5. It matches the Rfam family "U5 spliceosomal RNA". From Rfam's summary of the family: U5 RNA is a component of both types of known spliceosome. The precise function of this molecule is unknown, though it is known that the 5' loop is required for splice site selection and p220 binding, and that both the 3' stem-loop and the Sm site are important for Sm protein binding and cap methylation. Lineage: Eukaryota; Metazoa; Chordata; Testudines; Trionychidae. The record is from Ensembl.
CAAAGAAGGUUUCUCUUCAGACUGUGUCAAUCUUUUGUCUUUUACUAAAGAUUUCCAUGGAGAGGAACAUGUAUGAGUUUCUACCCAAAUUUUUGAGGCUUCACUUCGGUGAAGC